UACGUAGGGUGCGAGCGUUAAUCGGAAUUACUGGGCGUAAAGCGUGCGCAGGCGGUUCGUUAAGUUCGUCGUGAAAGCCCCGGGCUCAACCUGGGAAUGGCGAUGGAAACUGGCGGGCUGGAGUAUGGCAGAGGGGGGUGGAAUUCCGCGUGUAGCAGUGAAAUGCGUAGAGAUGCGGAGGAACACCGAUGGCGAAGGCAGCCCCCUGGGCCAAUACUGACGCUCAGGCACGAAAGCGUGGGGAGCAAACAGG
RNAcentral lists this ribosomal RNA (253 nucleotides) under uncultured bacterium. RNAcentral describes it as "partial 16S ribosomal RNA". It matches the Rfam family "Bacterial small subunit ribosomal RNA", at positions 524 to 776 of the family's 1533-position model. The record is from RNAcentral.